RNAcentral lists this ribosomal RNA (673 nucleotides) under uncultured bacterium. RNAcentral describes it as "bacterial SSU rRNA". It matches the Rfam family "Bacterial small subunit ribosomal RNA", at positions 146 to 799 of the family's 1533-position model. The record is from RNAcentral.
ACAGCUGGAAACGGCUGCUAAUACCGAAUACGUUCUUUCUGUCGCAUGGCAGAGGGAAGAAAGGGAGGCUCUUCGGAGCUUUCGCUGGAGGAGGGGCUUGCGUCUGAUUAGCUAGUUGGAGGGGUAACGGCCCACCAAGGCGACGAUCAGUAGCCGGUCUGAGAGGAUGAACGGCCACAUUGGGACUGAGACACGGCCCAGACUCCUACGGGAGGCAGCAGUGGGGAAUCUUCCGCAAUGGACGAAAGUCUGACGGAGCAACGCCGCGUGAACGAUGACGGCCUUCGGGUUGUAAAGUUCUGUUAUACGGGACGAAUGGUACGACGGUCAAUACCCGUCGUAAGUGACGGUACUGUAAGAGAAAGCCACGGCUAACUACGUGCCAGCAGCCGCGGUAAUACGUAGGUGGCAAGCGUUGUCCGGAAUUAUUGGGCGUAAAGGGCGCGCAGGCGGCGUCGUAAGUCGGUCUUAAAAGUGCGGGGCUUAACCCCGUGAGGGGACCGAAACUGCGAUGCUAGAGUAUCGGAGAGGAAAGCGGAAUUCCUAGUGUAGCGGUGAAAUGCGUAGAUAUUAGGAGGAACACCAGUGGCGAAAGCGGCUUUCUGGACGACAACUGACGCUGAGGCGCGAAAGCCAGGGGAGCAAACGGGAUUAGAUACCCCGGUAGUCCUGG